UACGUAGGGGGCUAGCGUUGUCCGGAAUCAUUGGGCGUAAAGAGCGUGUAGGCGGCUCGGUAAGUCCGCUGUGAAAGUCCAGGGCUCAACCCUGGAAUGCCAGUGGAAACUGUCGAGCUAGAGUCCGGAAGAGGCGAGUGGAAUUCCUGGUGUAGCGGUGAAAUGCGCAGAUAUCAGGAGGAACACCGGUGGCGAAGGCGGGUCUCUGGGCCGAUAUUGACGCUGAGGAGCGAAAGCGUGGGGAGCAAACAGG
This 253-nucleotide ribosomal RNA is filed under the name uncultured bacterium. RNAcentral describes it as "partial 16S ribosomal RNA". It matches the Rfam family "Bacterial small subunit ribosomal RNA", at positions 524 to 776 of the family's 1533-position model. The record is from RNAcentral.